RNAcentral lists this ribosomal RNA (266 nucleotides) under uncultured bacterium. Its description in RNAcentral is "partial 16S ribosomal RNA". It matches the Rfam family "Bacterial small subunit ribosomal RNA", at positions 88 to 354 of the family's 1533-position model. The record is from RNAcentral.
UGGGUUAGUGGCGGACGGGUGAGUAACGCGUGGGUAACCUGCCUUACACAGGGGGAUAACACUUAGAAAUAGGUGCUAAUACCGCAUAAGCGCACGGUUCCGCAUGGAACAGUGUGAAAAACUCCGGUGGUAUACGAUGGAUCCGCGUCUGAUUAGCCAGUUGGCGGGGUAACGGCCCACCAAAGCGACGAUCAGUAGCCGGCCUGAGAGGGUGAACGGCCACAUUGGGACUGAGACACGGCCCAAACUCCUACGGAAGGCAGCAG